This 42152-nucleotide long non-coding RNA is filed under the name Gossypium barbadense (sea-island cotton). RNAcentral describes it as "long non-coding RNA (GBAR_LNC013876)". Lineage: Eukaryota; Viridiplantae; Streptophyta; Magnoliopsida; Malvales; Malvaceae. The record is from RNAcentral.
GACCAUCCCUGCACAAGGCCACAUAAACCCAACCUUACAAUUUGCCAAGCAUCUUAUACGUAUUGGCGUACGUGUAACUUUCAUCACCUGCAUCUCCGCUCGCCACCGCAUGACCAAAGUCCCCACUGCUCAAGGCCUAACGUUUCUACCCUUUUCCGAUGGCUACGAUGACGGUUUUCAACCCGGCGAUGACGUGGACCGUUACCUAUCUGAAUUGAGGCGACGAGGCAAAGAAGCCAUCUCCGAGUUUAUAACAAGCGGUGAAAACGAAGGCAAACCCGUCACUUGCAUUGUCUACACCCUGUUCAUCCAUUGGGCCACGGAGGUGGCGCGUAAACAUCACAUCCCGACAGCUUUACUUUGGAUUCAACCCGCCACCGUUUUUGACAUCUAUUAUUUUUACUUCAACGGAUACGAAUCCACCAUUAAAGCUCAAGCUGAUGAAACAAACCCCAAGCGUUCAAUAAAAUUACCAGGUCUGCCGCUACUCGCCACUAGCGACCUUCCGUCGUUCGUCACCGCUUCAAACGUUUACCGUUGGGGACCGUCGUUGAUCCAAGAACAAAUGGACGUCCUCGCCGAUGAAUACAACCCUAAAAUCCUUGUUAACACAUUCGAUGCUUUGGAACACGAAACAUUAAACGCCAUUGAAAAUUUCAACAUGGUCGGCAUCGGACCUUUAAUCCCAUCUUCUUUCUUGAACUCAAAUGACUCCUUGGAUAAUUCCUUGAGAACCGAUCUUUUUCAAUCCGAUUCAAAAGAUUACUUCCAAUGGUUAGACUCCAAACCAAAAUCGGCUGUCGUUUACGUUUCCUUCGGGAGCAUUGCGGUGUUAACGAAGCAACAAGUGGAGGAAAUCGCUCGAGCUUUAAUAUCCAGCCGGCAACCGUUUUUAUGGGUGGUGAGGAACCGGAAAGAUGGAGGCGAAGAAGAAGAUAAACUGACUUGCAGGGAAGAAUUGGAACAGUUUGGGAGGGUGGUUCCAUGGUGUUCGCAAGUGGAAGUAUUGUCUCAUCCGUCGUUGGGUUGCUUCGUGACGCAUUGUGGGUGGAACUCGACGUUGGAGAGCAUGGUGGCCGGUGUACCGGUGGUGGCUUUCCCUCAAUGGACGGAUCAAUGGACUAAUGCGAAGCUGAUUGAAGAUGUGUGGGGGAAUGGGGUGAGAGUGAGUGCUAAUGAAGAAGGGAUGGUGGAAUGUGAUGAGAUCGUUAGGUGCUUGGAUUUGGUGAUGGGGGAUGAUGAGAAAGGGAUGGAAGUGAAGAAAAAUGUAGAGAAAUGGAAAGGGUUAGCCAGGGAAGCCUCCAUGGAAGGCGGCUCCAUGGAUAUGAAGCUUAAAGCUUUUGUGGAUGAUGUUGCUGAAGCUGGUUGCAAGUAAAUUUAUCAUUUUCAAAUAAAUUCACUGUUAUAAUAGCAGCUAUAAAUAUUGUAACUUCUUUAAUUUCUAAGUUUAUUUCUUUUUCCUUUCCAUCAUCUUUUGUAAAAAAAAAAAAAGUAAGAUUGAAAAGCCGAAACAAAAACUCCUCUUUUUAAGGACCCAAGAGGAGCUGGUCUGUUUAGUCUUUGAGCCCCACCUGUCAAUCUCAAUCUCAAUCAAUGCCACUCACUCGUUUCAUGUCCUAUCCUCGUCUUCCCUUCAUUAAUAUCACUCCACCUUCUAACUUAAUAACUGAUACAUGAUCUCAAAAAAAAAAAGAAAAAAAAAAAACCCAAAGUUUGAAUUCGGUCUAUGAGCUUCCUAAACAAAAUCAGGAUAUGUGAUUAAGCAUGGAUGCUUCCGUUAUCAUAUGGAUUAAGGGUGCCAGUCGGGCUUAUUACGCCCCUCAUCCAACUUUCACCAUUCGAUAUAUGAUUAUAACCUAACCAACAACAGUCAAAUGUGUUGUUGUCGUACCUCUAUCCCUUCAAAAAUCUCUUUACUGUUGCUACCCAUGUCUUCUUUGAUAUAUAUGCAUAUUUUUAACCUUACUGAGCUGUGGACUUCAUUUGAAGUGUAACCAAGUUUUUGCUUUUUUUUCUUUCUUCUUCUUGUGUUUCCUGAAUUUAUAAAUUUUUUUCGAUUGGCUUCUAUUUAUGUUUUUUCAAAGAUUAAUAAUUGAAUUUAAUUAAAAAAUAAUUAAAUUGGUAAAAUAUAUAAAUGUUGAGGACAAACUUCAGUAUUAUCCCUUUUAAUACCUUUCAUCGUACUGGAGCAGGUAUUAUCGUACCAUGAAACUUGAAUAAGCCACCACACAAGUUUAUGCGCAUGUGGUUUUUUCUGGUUGUAUUCUGCUACUAGUCCUUAUACUUUAUGAAAGUGAUGGAUUUAGUCCCAAUACUUCAAUUUAAUCACUUUUAGUCCUGCACUUUUCAAAAUGUUCAAUUUUAGUCCCUAUAUUUUCAGUCUUUUGAAAUUUUCGUCCUAAACCAAAUAAUAGUAGUUCAAUUUGUUUGUUUAAAUUCAAUUACUAGCAUGUAAUUGUAGAUUUAAUAUAUAUUAUCCAUUUUCUUUGCAAAGUCUGUGAAAAACAAAACGGAUUGUUGAGAACAAUCCAAACACUAUCAAACACAGUUUAAAAAAAAAAAAAACAGAACAGCCUAACAUAUACUACUAAGCAGACAAAAACACUUUAACAACAGAUUUCCCCGUUGUAUUCUGCUGCAGAAAAUAGCAGACCAUCCCAGCAGCAUCAUCCAUUCUGCUUCAGCAGCAAAUCACCAAGCAGCUUUAAAGAAGUUUUUCCUUGACAUGCCUGUCUUUGCUAAAGUUUCCGCCAUUCCACUCUUUUUUUGAUUAGUGAUUGCAAACUGGAUUUCGGCAAUAUGUCUACAUCCAUCUUCAAUUUCCGCAAACAACUUCCUUAGCGACCAUGGACGAAGAUUUCUAUAUUUCAACUAAUUCAAUACCGUAUUCAAAUCAAGCUCUAUAAUCAAAGGAAGUUGCACCUUAUGAAACAAAUUUGAAAACAUCUCUAUUGCUACUUUUAUAGCCAUCAGUACUACCAUUUCCAAACCCUCCACUGCACAGUUACCUGAAAAAGAGCUGAAACAACCCCUUUCUCGUCCCGCAACACCCCUCCGCAGCCCGCUCUUUCAUCCAAAGAAACCCCAGCCACAUUAAAUUUCAUCCAACCGCAAGGAGGUGGUUCCCUAUCCAUAACCCGCACAUUCCCCACCCUAUUUAACCAGACUGCUCUUCCUUGGCCACCCCCACCAAUCACUCUCUGUGAAAAUACAUUCCUCAUAGACCACUCUUGCCCAUACAAACGAUCUCAAUUUUGUUUGAUAAAUUAAGUCAAGUGUUGUAGCCUUACCUUCAAACACUUUCUCAUUACGAGAAAUCCAUCCUGACCAACAUGCUGCUGAUACUGCCAGUAACCAUAAACUUUUUUGAAUGCCAGACAAAGACACUCUCCAGCAAAAGGAAAAGAAUUCCUCAAAGUUUGCUACGUCCUUCCAUCUCAACCCCCACCAGCAAAAUAUAAGCGACCAGAAUCUUUUCACAAAGGAGCAUUCAAAAAACAAGUGAUUGGUAGAUUCCGCCACUCUCUCGCACCAUGGACACCCACUAUCCGAAGAGUUGAUAAUAAUUCCUCUACUAAUAAAAAAUUCUUUCGUUGGAACACGAUUAAUCGCCAUCAUCUAUAGGAAGCUACGCUUUCUUGGUGGGACUUUCAAUUUCCAGAUUCUAUCAAACUGAAAUUCUACCGUUCCCAUCCCAUCAUAAGAUAGGAGAGACACAUUCACGACAUUAGUUGCACGCCCAGCUACAAACGAACCUGGCUCGGAUACCAAAAAUGUAGGGAAAAAAUAGUCACAGAAGACUAUUGUCAAACAACGUGUAUGCAAGGAAAAUACUAAACUAUAGAAAAUUUAAAAAGAAAGAAAAGCUGAACUCAAAAUGACUGAAGUUGCUGUAUUAUUCACACACAAAAUGAAAUAAACGUAGGCCUAUAAAUAGCCUUUACACCAUAACAAACUAACGUAAAAAUGUGCAACACUAUUGCACGAUCAUAACAAAAAAUAGAGAAAUAAGGAAAUUAACAAACUAAGCAUAGCACAGCAAAUCUAAAUUUAGAAAAACCGACUUUGAAUCAUUCUCCAACAUCGAAAAUGGUGGAGGGCUGAAUCCAGAGUAAAGUUGACGGGAUGUGAUGUUUACGCGCCACCUCCGUAGCCCAAUGAAGGAGCAAAUAGUAGACAAUGCAAGUGAUGGGUUUACCUUCGUUUUCACUACUUGUUAUAAACUCAGAGAUGGCAUCUCUGCCUCGUCUCUUGAAUUCAGACAUGUAAUUGUCUGUGUCAUUGCCGGGUUUAAUUUCGUCGUCGUAGCUAUCCGAAAAAGGUAAAAACGAUAGGCCUUCAGCAGUGGGGGACUUUGGUCAUGCGACUGAUGACGGAGAUGCUGGUGAUGAAAGUUACACGUGCGUUGAUAGGUACAAGAUGCUUGGCGAAUUGUAAAGUCGGGUUUACGUGGCCUUGUGCAGGAUAGGUCACUACGAUGAAAUGAGGCUGUGACAUGAUGGUGACGGCGGCGAGUGUUGGCGCGUAAUUCGUGAAGGAAAUUAAUGGGUUUUUAUAGUGAAGAGAGGCAUUGAUAAAAGGUGAUGUUUGAGCUGACGAAUUUCAAAGAUUCCUAAACCUUGUUGGACUUAUCUGGUGUUUUUUCAAUGCUUAGGUUGCAGCUUGAUGCAUGAUGCUGUUAGAGAGAGUUUCAUACUACACGACUCUUUGGGGUUUGAAUUUAAUUCACCAAUUACAAUUUUAGUUAAACUAAACCCCAACACUAAACACGUAAGUUCAUAUUUGGUUAAACUACCUACCAAGUUAUCCAUCUAUGCCUAAACAUUUUUUUACUCACUCAAUUUUUUAAACUUUCAAAAUGGUCAUUCAAUUCAUUGGGUUCCAUUUUUUUAUCCAUUUCCAUUAAGCAUCGUUAAAUGCCUGGUAGGGUUAAUUUUUAAAAAUUAUGACUAAAUUGAUACAAUAUGUAAAAUUUGAGGAAAAAAUUUGUUAUUAUACUAAUAUUUAAAUAGUCACUUCAACUUUUUGUCAAACACUUAAUGGAAAUGGACCAAAAAAUAAAUCUGAUUAAUUAUGUGACCAUUUUGAAAGUUUUAAAAGUUGAGUGAAAAAAAAAACUUAAACAUAUUUAAUAGUAUUAAUGUGUCGAACAAUUAAAGUAUCCACUUGUCACAAUAUUAAACCCCACGUAUGAUUGUUUUCUUGAAUAUUGUGUAUAUUAUAUAUGAUAAAAGAUUGUAUAAAAUUAUCAUUCUACGUCAUCCCUAAGAAAAUGAUAAAUUAAAUUUUGUCUCUUACAAAAUUCAAAUUCAACUAAAAAACUAAUAUAGAAUCACAGUUUCAUAUAAACUUUUCUUUUAUAAUAUAUAGGUAUAAUAUAUAUAUUCCAUUUAGCAAUUGUUUUUAACUCUGGUCUUUUAAUUUGUCACAAACAAAAAUUUUGACUUCGAUAUUAAUACUAAAAUAAUAUUUGUCCUUGUAGCGGAAGAAUGUGUGUGACAACGUGAUAAAUAUUUUUCCAAACAAAAUCCAAAAGGAAUUAGGCAUCUUCAAAUUCGUCAGCCCAAACGUCACUGUUUUUCAGUGCCUCUCAUCACUUAUAAAAACACUUUGAUUUCCUUUCUUACUUACUCCAAAUCCGACGUUCGUACAAAAAGACCAGUAGAACUACCUACGUGCCGCCGUCACCACCAUGUCACAGCCUCAUUUCCUCCUAGUGACCUUCCCUGCACAAGGCCACAUAAACCCAACCUUACAAUUUGCCAAGCAUCUUAUACGUAUUGGCGUACGUGUAACUUUCAUCACCUGCAUCUCCGCUCGCCGCCGCAUGACCAAAGUCCCCACUGCUCAAGGCCUAACGUUUUUACCCUUUUCCGAUGGCUACGACGACGGUUUUCAACCCGGCGAUGACAUAGAACAUUACCUAUCUGAAUUGAGGAGACGAGGCAAAGAAGCCAUCUCCGAGUUUAUAACAAGCAGUGAAUACGAAGGCAAACCCGUCACUUGCAUUGUCUACACCCUGUUCAUCCAUUGGGCCUCGGAGGUGGCGCGUAAACAUCACAUCCCGACAGCUUUACUUUGGAUUCAACCCGCCACCGUUUUCGACAUCUAUUAUUUUUACUUCAACGGGUACGAAUCCACCAUUAAAGCUCCAGUUGAUGAAACAAACCCAAAGCGUUCAAUAAAAUUACCAGGUCUGCCGCUACUCGCCACCCGCGACCUUCCGUCGUUCGUCACCGCUUCAAACGUUUACCGUUGGGCACUGUCGUUGUUCCAAGAACAAAUGGAUAUCCUCGCUGAUGAAUCCAACCCCAAAAUCCUUGUUAACACCUUCGAUGCUUUGGAACAAGAAGCAUUAAAUGCCAUUGAAAAUUUCAACAUGGUCGGCAUCGGACCUUUAAUCCCAUCUUCUUUCUUGAACUCAAAUGACUCCUUGGAUAAUUCCUUGAGAACCGAUCUUUUUCAAUCCGAUUCAAAAGAUUACAUCCAAUGGUUAGACUCCAAACCAAAAUCGGCCGUCGUUUACGUUUCCUUCGGGAGCAUUGCGGUGUUAACCAAGCAACAAGUGGAGGAAAUCGCUCGAGCUUUAAUAGCCAGCCGGCGACCGUUUUUAUGGGUGGUGAGGAACUGGAAAGAUGGAGUCGAAGAAGAGAAAGAAGAAGAAAAACUGACUUGGAGGGAAGAAUUGGAACGGUUUGGGAUGGUGGUUCCAUGGUGUUCGCAAGUGGAAGUAUUGUCUCAUCCGUCGUUGGGUUGUUUCGUGACGCAUUGUGGGUGGAACUCGACGUUGGAGAGCAUGGUGGCCGGUGUACCGGUGGUGGCUUUCCCUCAAUGGACGGAUCAAGGGACUAAUGCGAAGCUGAUUGAAGAUGUGUGGGGGAAUGGGGUGAGAGUGAGUGCUAAUGAAGAAGGGAUGGUGGAACGUGAUGAGAUCGUUAGGUGCUUGGAUUUGGUGAUGGGGGAUGAUGAGAAAGGGAUGGAAGUGAAGAAAAAUGUAGAGAAAUGGGAAGGGUUAGCCAGGGAAGCCUCCAUGGAAGGCGGCUCCAUGGAUAUGAACCUUAAAGCUUUCGUGGAUGAUGUUGCUCAAGGUUGUUGGAAGUAAAUUUAUCAUUUUCAAAUCAAUUCACUGUUAUAAUAGCAGCUAUAAAUAUUGUGAUAGCAACAAUAUCAAUUCACUGUUGCAAAUAAAUUUUUAAUUUGUGUUUGUAUUAAAUGUAUGCUUUAAUUAAUUUUGGUGUAACGUUUAAGUUUUUUUAAAGAUUAAUAAUUAAAUUUGGGUAAAAUCAAAAAAUUUGGUUAACCGAUUGGAUUCGGUUAAUCGGUUGGUUAAUUAAAUUUUUUCGGUGAAGAGUCGAUUAAUUAUUUUCUCAUUUUCCGGUUAACGGCUAAUUCAGUUCGAAACCGGUCGGUUAACUGAAUUGUUUUGAUUUAAUCGAAAAAUUAAUAAAUAAAAUUAUAAUAUAUAAAUAGGCUCACUAUUCACCUAAGUCCAACCCAAACCCAAGUAUCCAACCUAACCCAAUCAAAUCAUAAAAAUUACAGAUAAUUUAUGUAUUAAUUUCAAGACUUAUGUAAUGUUUUUAAUUAUGUAGUGAUUCAAUUCGGUUAAUUCGGGUAAUUCGAGUAAUUCGGUUAAUUCGGGUAAUUUGGGUAAUUCGAUUAAUUUUUAACCAAAAAUAAAAAAUAUAUGAUUUUCGGUUAAUUUGGUUAACCGACUGAAUUAACCGAAAAGUUUUUGAUUCGGUUAGUUUUUAUUUUUUUAAAAUUCGAUUCAGUUAAUAGUUAAAAAUAUUGAAAGUUCAAUUAAUUCAAUUAAUAUUUUUUCGAGUCAGUGAACUGACUGAACACCCCUAGUAGCGGAGUAGGUAUUAUCAUACGAAUGAUAAGCCACCACACAAGUUUAUGCGGAUGUGGUUUUCUUGGUUUAAUUUUGCCACAAGUCCCUAUACUUUAUAAAAGUUAUGGAUUUAGUUCCGUUAUUUCAAUUUGAUCACUUUAGUCCUGCACUUUUCAAAAUGUUCAAUUUUAGUCCCUAUACUUUUAAACUUUUGAAAUUUUCAUCCUUAACCAAAAAAUAGUAGUUAAAUUUGUUUGUUUAAUUUCAAUUCCUAGAAAUGUACUAUACAUAUAAUUGUAGAUUUAAUAUAUAUUCUCCAACUGAAUCAUUUUAAGUCCCUAUUUUUUUCGAAUUCUAAAAUUUCCGUCUCAAUACAAAUGAUAGUCACCGAUCCAUUAACUAAAAUUUUAGUAAGUAAUAUGUGAAAAUAGCCAACUAAAAUGCUAGUACACACAUGAUGAUAUGUUUAUUGCAUCAAAUUUUAAAAAUAACAGAAUUUAAUGAAUUUAACAAUUAUUGUUUAGUGAUGACUUUUAAAAUUUAGAAAGUAUGAGCAUUAAAAGUGACCAAAUUAAUGUAUAAUUAAGAAUUAGAUCCACAACUUUUGUAAAGUAAGACUAAUAAUAAAAUUUAAUCUUGUUUUUUUCUUGAAAGAAAUUAAAAGUGACCAUUUAAGUAUUAUAUGUGCUAGGGAUGGGAGAUUAAUACGAAUCGUGGGAUGGAUUUUAAAUAGUUCGAAUUUUUUUUUUGUGUGUGUGGACAAUGAGUAAUUCUUUGCCCUAUAUAAAAGUAUCAUUUUAUCCAUUUAAUAUGUAUAACUAUUUAAAUGGUGAAAUACGAAAAUGCAUUAUAGAAAAGCCUUUAUGUUUAAUUUUUUUGAAACUGUUGUGGAAAACCUUAAAUGUGGUUAAUUGCCUUGCAAACCCUCCUUAUUUAUUAUUUUCUUUUUAUUCCCCUUCAACUCACUACAUUGUGUUUCAACAAGCUCUUAACCUAUUUUUGUAGUUAAAUAGGCCCUUAACUUAUGAUUUUUACUCAUAAAAUCUCUUUGUUUUAAUACUAAAGUAAAUAUGUUUUACUCAUAUUAAAGGGCUUUUUAGUAUUUUAGCCUAGACUGUAUGUUGUUGAACCUGGCACCUGCAUUGUAGAAAUUUUUUGAUUAUUUUCAAUGCUUAAGAACCAAUGAAAACAUAGAUGGAAGGCUAAUAUACUAAAAAGUGCUUAAACUAUUACACUUUGUUUAAGUAAGCUUUUGUACUAUUUUUGUCGUUAAAUAGGCCCUCAAACUAUGAUUUUUACCCAUGAAAGUCCUAAAUUUUAAUAUUAAAGUAAAACUAUUUAAAAAAUAUAUAAAUUAAUUCGCAUUUUAUGUUGAUGUGAAUUUGAUGAGAAGAGUUUAUUAAAUAAAAAAUUAAAAAUUAAAAAUUGUUGAGAGUGCUUAUAUGCAUGACAUGCUUAAUUACUAUUCUGAAAUUGCUGAUUACUUUUUUAGAUUUUAUGUUUAUGUUAAAGUGUAUAUAAUUUUUAUUGCAUCAACAAGAAAUUAAGAUAAGAGCUUGAAAUUCAAAAUAUAUUUACUUUAAUAUUAAAAUAAAAGGCUUUUAUGAGUAAAACUCAUAGGUUAAGAGUUUAUUUAACUACAAAAUUAAGUUAAGGGCUUGUUUAAACACAACCUAGUGAGUUGAAGGGGAAUAAAAAAUAAAAUAUAUAACGAGGGUUUACAAGGCAAUUAGCCACAUCUAAGCGGCACCCUUUCACUUCUUUUUCGUAGUCACUUAAAAUGGAAAAUUUGCAUUUUAAAUCCCUAAAUACUUUAAAUUAUUACAUUUCAGUCUGAUACAAAACAGUACAGUAACAAACAUGCCAUUUUGAUGUAUGUAUAUAUAUACUCGUUUUGCUAUUGUUUUUGACUUCGACUUUUAAUUGGUCACAAAAUUUUUGGAUAAUUUUUUUUAAAAUAAUUAUUUUAGUCCUUGCAGAGCAAGACAGCGGGAUGAAUGGUUUUCCACAAAAUCCAAAAGGAAUUAGGCAUCUUCAAAUUCGUCAGCGCAAACGUCACUGUUUUUCAGUGCCUCUCAUCACUUAUAAAAACACUUCGAUUUCCUUUCUUAGUUACUCCAAAUCCGACGUUCGUAAAAAAAGACCAGGUGAACUACCUACGAGCCGCCGUCACCACCAUGUCACAGCCUCAUUUCCUCCUAGUGACCUUCCCUGCACAAGGCCACAUAAACCCAACCUUACAAUUUGCCAAGCAUCUUAUACGUAUUGGCGUACGUGUAACUUUCGUCACCUGCAUCUCGGCUUGCCGCCGCAUGACCAAAGUCCCCACUGCUCAGGGCCUAACGUUUUUACCCUUUUCCGAUGGCUACGACGACGGUUUUCAACCCGGCGAUGACAUAGAACAUUACCUAUCUGAAUUGAGGCGACGAGGCAAAGAAGCCAUCUCCGAGUUUAUAACAAGCAGUGAAAACGACGGCAAAUCCGUCACUUGCAUUGUCAACACCCUGUUCAUCCAUUGGGCCUCGGAGGUGGCGCGUAAACAUCACAUCCCGACAGCUUUACUUUGGAUUCAACCCGCCACCGUUUUCGACAUCUAUUAUUUUUACUUCAACGGAUACGAAUCCACCAUUAAAGCUCCUGUUGAUGAAACAAACCCCAAGCGUUCAAUAAAAUUACCAGGCCUGCCGCUACUCGCCACUCGCGACCUUCCGUCGUUCGUCACCGCUUCAAACGUUUACCGUUGGGCACUGUCGUUGUUCCAAGAACAAAUGGAUGUCCUCGCUGAUGAAUCCAACCCCAAAAUCCUUGUUAACACAUUCGAUGCUUUGGAACACGAAGCAUUAAACGCCAUUGAAAAUUUCAACAUGGUAGGCAUCGGACCUUUAAUCCCAUCUUCUUUCUUGAACUCAAAUGACUCCUUGGAUAAUUCCUUGAGAACCGAUCUUUUUCAAUCCGAUUCAAAAGAUUACAUCCAAUGGUUAGACUCCAAACCAAAAUCGGCCGUCGUUUACGUUUCCUUCGGGAGCUAUGCUGUGUUAACGAAGCAACAAGUGGAGGAAAUCGCUCGAGCUUUAAUAUCCAGCCGGCGACCCUUUUUAUGGGUGGUGAGGAACCGGAAAAAUGGAGGCGAAGAAGAGAAAGAAGAAGAUAAACUGACUUGCAGGGAAGAAUUGGAACAGUUUGGGAUGGUGGUUCCAUGGUGUUCGCAAGUGGAAGUAUUGUUUCAUCCAUCGUUGGGUUGCUUCGUGACGCAUUGUGGGUGGAACUCGACGUUGGAGAGCAUGGCGGCCGGUGUACCGGUGGUGGCUUUCCCUCAAUGGACGGAUCAAAGGACUAAUGCGAAGCUGAUUGAAGAUGUGUGGGGGAAUGGGGUGAGAGUGAGUGCUAAUGAAGAAGGGAUGGUGGAACGUGAUGAGAUCGUUAGGUGCUUGGAUUUGGUGAUGGGGGAUGAUAAGAAAGGGAUGGAAGUGAAGAAAAAUGUAGAGAAAUGGAAACGGUUAGCCAGAGAAGCCGCCAUGGAAGGCGGCUCCUUGGAUAUGAAGCUUAAAGCUUUUGUGGAUGAUAUUGCUGAAGGAUAUCGUAAGUAAAAUUAUCACUUUCAAAUCAAUUCACUGUUUCAAUAGUAGUUAUUUAAACAGUUAUUAUCGUACCAUGAAACUUGAUUAGGUUUUGCCUUGUAGUAAACAUGCGAAGGACGACCCACCACACAAGUUUAUGCAGAUAUGGUUUUUUUUUUUUUUUUGUUUAAUUUUGCUACUAGUCUCUAUACUUUAUGAAAGUUAUGGAUUUAGUCUCAAUACUUUAAUUUGACCAUUUUUAGUCCUGCACUUUUCAAAAUGUUCAAUUUUAGUCCCUAUACUUUUAGUCUUUUGAAAUUUUAGUCCUGAACCAAAUAAUAGUAGUUAAAUUAUUUUGUUUAAAUUCAAUUACUAGUCAUGUCCUAUGUGUACAAUUAUAGAUUUAAUAAAUAUAUUUCCUAAUUGAAUCAUUUUAAGUCCCUAUUUUUUUCGAAUUCUAAAAUUUCCGUCUCGACACAAAUGAUAGUCACUAAUCCAUUAACUAAAAUUUCAGUAAGUAAUAUGUGAAAAUAUCAAACAGAAAUGCCAUUACACAUAUGAUAAUAUGUUUGUUGCAUCAAAUUUUGAAAAUAACAGAAUUUAAUGAAUUUAACAAUUAUCGUUUAGUGAAGGCUGAAAUUUUAAAAUUUAAAAAGUAAGAGAAUUAAAAAUGACCAAAUUAAAGUAUCAGUAUUAAAUCUGCAACUUUUGUUAAGUAAGACUAAUAAUAAAAUUUAACCUUAUUUUUUUCUUGAAAGAAAUUGAAAGUGACCAUUUAAGUAUAUAAUAUGUGAUUGGGAUUGGAGAAUAUGAAUGGUGUGAUAGAUUUUGAAUGUAGGAAACAAAAUUUUUUGAAAUGUGGUUGUAGGAUGGAGUGGGUUGGAUUUAUUUGUGUGUGGUCAAUGUAUAACUCUUUGCCUUUAUACUAUAUAAAAGUAUCAUUUUAUCCGUUUAAUAUGUAUAACUAUUUAAAUAUGUAGAAAUGUGAAAAUGUAUUAUAGAAAAGCCUUUAUGUUUAAUUUUUUUUAAAAUUUUAUGUUCUAAAGUCACUAAAUUAUUAGUAAAUUUAUGUUUUGAUUACUCAACUUCAAAAAGUUACAAAAUGGUCAUGAGUUAUUAGAAAAUUUUCAUUUCAGUUGUUCAACUAUUCAAAACUUUUUUUGUUUAAGUCAUUACGCUGUUAAGUUCUUUCUAAGUUCAAUUAAUGAGCUCCAACCGAUGAUUUAACAAUCGUAUGGUGGAUUAGUACUCAUCGACGAGUAGAGGAAAUCCCUUGAGAUUUUUUAUCCAGUCGGCAACCAUUUUCAUGGGUGGUGAGGAACUGGAAAGAUGGAGGCUACGAAGAGAAAGAAAAAGAUAAACUGGCUUGCAGGGAAGAAUUGGAACAGUUUGGGAUGGUGGUUCCAUGGUGUUCGCAAGUGGAAGUAUUGUCUCAUCGUCGUUGGGUUGCUUCGUGACGCAUUGUGGGUGAAACUCGACGUUGGAGAGCAUAGUGGCCAGUGUAUCAAGGGACUAAUGCGAAGCUGAUUGAAGAUGUGGGGGGAAUGGGGUGAGAGUGAGUGCUAAUGAAGAAGGGAUCAUGGAACGUGAUGAGAUUGUUAGGUGCUUGGGUUUGGUGAUAGGGGAUGGGGAGAAAGGGAUGCAAGUGAAGAAGAAUGUUGAGAAAUGGAAAGGGUUAGCGGGGGAGGCCGCCAUGGAAGGCGGUUCCUUGGAUAUCAACCUUAAAGUUUUUGUGGAUGAUGUUGCUCAAGGUUGUUGCAAGUAAAUUUAUCUUUUCAUAUAAUUAUCUACAUUUAUAUCUCGAAUUCUUAAAUCAAGAAAUAAUAUGUUUGAAAACGAUCAAAUUCCUUUUGUUGUAAUAAUAAUAAUAUCAAAUGACCUAAAAUUCGAUGAAAUGUUACAAAUUAAUUUUUAAUUUAUGUUUGUAUUAAAUUUACGCUUAAAUUAAUUUUGGGUUAUGGUGUAAGUUUUUUUUAAAAAUAAUUUUAAUGGUCAAAUUUAAUUAAUAACACCAUCAAUUGGAUUUUAAAUUUUAAGUCAAACAAGAGACAAAAGUUUAAAAAUUAAAAGUAGCGGAUUAAAUGUUAAAAAAAAUUGCAAAAGAGUACAAGAAUUGGGGGUAUACUUAGAAAAAAUAUUAAAAUUUUCUUUUCUCCUCCAAUAGUAGAAUCUAAAGUUACGCACCUUUAUAAAAUUAAAAAAGAGUUAAUUGUCCAAGAUAAAUAUUAAAUAAUAAUAUUUAUAGACUCGAGUACAUGAAAUUUAUUGUUGGUCAUUGAAUUUAUCAUUUAACAAUUACUUUUGUUUUGGCUAUUGAGAAAAUUUUCUAGCCCUUAUAAUAUAUAUAUCUCCAUAUUAUUGGAUGUGUUACUUUUUAUUAAAUUACAUUGCCUAAGGUUGCUUAUUGCGAUUAUGGUAAUUUGCUGCAUCAUCCCCUGACUAAUUCUUCUCAUUUUUAGUGUUAGCAUUCUUCUGCUUAAAAUCUGGGUCUCAUGUUGCUUUUUGAGCAUCACUAUACCAUUCUCCUCUUUAACCCACCGAAAAAUCUAGUAGGAGCUUUUGCUUCCGAUUCUGGAGAAGUUUCCUCCCUCAAAAGUACCCUAUCGGCUUCAGGAGAUGCUGCCUCAUCAAAAGUGUAAUAGCCCGAAUUUGGGCCUAGUCGAAACAGUAGUUUCGGGACCACAAAUGUAAUAUUUCAAAAAUUUCUAUAGUAAGAUAUUAUCCUUGGUAUAGUAAAAUAAGGAAAUAAAGUAAAAAAAAAGGGGGAAAUUUUGAGUUAUGUCAACAUUGAGAAGUAUGACAUAUUAAUGCAAUAAAGGAUUAAAUCGCAAAAGUGAGAAAAGUAUUGAGGGAUUAAAGUGUAAAUAUGAAAAAGUUGAAGGACCAAAGGUCUAAAUAUUUUAAGGGUGGAAUGAUCUAGAAACUAAGGAAAAUGGAUGAAUUAGGACCAAAUUGAAUAAGAUAAGAAUUAUGAGGGACUAAAUCGUAAUUUUACCAAAUUAAGUGUGACUCAAUGAUGGAAUUUUAAAAGAUUAUGAAGGGCAAAAUGGUCAAUUAGAAGAGAGAGAAAUCUAGAAGGCAAUGAUGAUGUUGGUGAUAUUUUAGAUUAAUUAAUUAAAUAAAUAUUAGUUCAUUAAUAUUUUAAUAUGAUUUUUAAAUGAUAUUUUAUUAAUUUAUUAUUAUUCUAUUUAGUAUAUAUAUGAAAGGAAAGAUGAGGAAUUAUCAUCUUCUUCCCCAUGCAACCAACGUAUGAAGAGGAAAGAAAGAAAGAAACUUUCUUUUCUUUACAAUUUGGUCCUUUUAUAAAAAAUUCACCAUUUUCGCUUAGAAAUUAAAAGAAUUUCCAUAUCCAUCAAGAGAGAAAGAUAACAAGGAGACUAUGGGGAGCUAGAAUAUCAAGUUAGAUUCAAGAAAUAGAAGCUGGAGGAGGGAGAAAAUCAAGUUAAAGAUUGAAAUCAAUUGAGCAAGGUAAGAAUAUCAAGAUUUCAAUAUAUUUUUGAGUUUGAUAUUAUUGAAAAGGCAUGAAAUUGAUGUUAAUGUAGAGUUUUAUUAUAUAAGGUUUUAUGUUCUUGGUAUGUUAGUGAAGAGAAAAUAAGAGAAAGUGAUGAGAAAUAGUGUAGAGAAAGAAAAUAAGAGUGUUAUAAACUUAGUAAUCAAUAUUUUACACUAAAACAGUUUGGACAGCAGCAGUAGGUUAACUUUGAAAAAUCCCCAAAAAUUGUGGGAAUUGAAUUAGAAGAUGAAUAAAAUAUGAAAUUAAAGCUUAUUGAGUCUAGUUUCUCAUAAAAGAAAUGGUGUAAGCAAUAGAAUUUUAAAUCAUGAUAUAUAAUAAAUUUUGUGAGACAAUAUCAGAAUGAUUUUGGGUUCCCCUGUUCUAACUUUGGAAAAUCAUAAAAAAUUGAAGAAAAAUAAUUAUGAGUUAUAAUUUAUAUGAUUAGAAUCCUUAAUAAAUCUAUUUUCAAAUUAAAUAAACAUAAAAAUCAUCCAAAUUCUGUACAAUUAGAUAAUUCAUUUUUAGUGAAGAGUGGUCGGAACUGUCAGAUAGAAAAAUAGGGGAAACUUUAAAGAAUAAACUGUACUAUUUGGAUGAACCAAAAAUUCUGAAAAUUUUAUGGCAAUAAGAUAUAUGAGUCUAGUUUCAGGGAAAAUUAAUGGAUCUUAAUUUGGAUUUCUAUAGCUCAAGAUAUAAAUGAUUUAGUAACUAUGACUCAAAUGGACAGCUUUGAAUAAAUUUACAAGAAAAUAGUGAAAUUAUAGAUAAUGUUACUUAUAAGCAUGUUAUGUAAAUUAAGGAUGUGGAAUGGAGAGUGUACAAGCCCAAUUUUUGACCCAGGGCCCAAUAACAAAUUUUAACCUAAAAAAACUACCCAGGCCCAACUAGCCUAACCCAAUCAGCCCAAAACAUAAACACCUAGCAGAAACCCUAGCCCCCUGUUGUGCCGCACCUGCUCCUGGCCGCCUCACCUGCUCCGCCGUUCACCUGCUUUCUGCCAUUGCCCAACUGCCCACCUGCAAACGAGUAAAGAAAGCAGCAACAACAACAAUGAAAAGAGGAGAAAUGACAGUGGUGUAAAAAAAAAAUGGGUACACAAAUGGGUAUAUAAAAAAGGGCGGGGAUCACCGAAAGAGGGUCUUUUCCUUUUCUUUUGUAAUUUUUUCACAACACAACAGUUAAUGAAAAAAGGCAGAGAAAACAUUUAAAGGUGGAUUCAGACUUUUUAUUCUUUUUUUUGUUUGUUUUUAUGUUUGCUUGUUUAUAUAUAUAUACGAAUCUAUCUCAACAAAAACGAAAAUAAAAAAGAGAAAGAGAGAAACUCACCGGGGGGCUUUGAAAACCCGUCAUCGCGCUUCGCCGGCCGUCGAUCUGGUGGCCGUGCGGCGGAUGUGCGAACGGUGGCAGCUAAGGAGGGCUUUUAAAAAAAACCCUAACAGAGAAAAAGCUAGAGGCUUUUUUGUUUUUUUUUAUCUGCUAUUACAAAGUGUAUUUUUUAGGGGAAAUUUUAAUUUAAAUAGGAUCAGCUAAACGGCGCCGUUUUGGGUGGGAAAACCCCCGCGCGCGACCCGACCCGCGUCUCAGGAUCCACGUGUUUUGAUGAUUGGGUUAUUUACCCAUUUGGCCCUUCCGCCCUUUUGGGGUGUUUCAAUCUAGUCCUAUUUACAUUUUUAGAUUUUAUAAUUUUCGCCCAAAUUAUUUUUAGCGUUUUUGAUUUAGUCUUGCACUCAUAGAAUGGACACGUGUCCUAAUAAUUGGGAUAUUUUCCGUUUUGGCCCUCCGUCCUUUCGCGCGAGUCACAUUUUGGUCCUUUUCGUCCUUUUUAUUCCAAAUUCGCCCGGUAUUUCCUUUUUUUAUUUUAUUUCGAUUUAGCCCUUUUUUAGUCGCUUUAUUAUUUUGUUUAUUUUAUUAUUAUUAUUAUUAUUAUUAUUAUUUACUAUUAUUAUCUUUACUAUUAUUGUUAGUAUUAUUACUACUAUUAUUAUUACUAUCAUUAUAUUUACACCUAUAUUUACUUAUAUAAAUCUUAGAUAAUAGGUGAUAUAUUAUAUUAUUAUAAAAUUGCGUAUAUACGUACAUGUAUAUGUAUUCUUUUAACUAAUUUUAUAUAUACAUACAAAAUCAUAUUUUCGUAUAUUUUUUAAUUUGUAUAUACAUAUACUUAUAUCUAUAUUUUCUAAUUUUUAUAAAUAUAUUUAUAUGUACAUACUUAUAUUUUUUAUAUACUUUCUAAUUCGUAUAUACCUAUUUACAUCUAUAUUUUUAAUAUAUUUUAAACAUAUAUAUAAAUAUCACUAUUUACUUUUUUAUUUUUAUUUUUUAUUAUUAUUUUCAAAUUUUGAUGUAUACUUACAUAUAUAUAUCUUUACAUUUUUAUAAUUUUAUUCAUUUAUUUAUUUACAUUUUCAUUAUUAUUUUGAACGAAUGCUUUAAUUUUAUUUGCUUGUAUACAUUGCUAUUUCGUAUGUUAUUGGUCUGUACCUUUUAUUUUUCUUAUUUUCGUUGCUAUUACUUGCAUUGUUUUUACAUCAUCGUAUUCAUAUUUAUUUAGUUACGCAUAUUAACAUCGUAUCUUAUUUUUACUGUUUCGUGAAAAAAAUAUUUCAUUCAAUGUAUGAAUUAUAACUUUUUGAGUAAACAAAAUUUCGUGUUUAGAUUUGAGAAAGUCGUACCCUAACUUACUGGGUUUCGACUUUCACAACAAAUCUAAAGACACGAAUCUUUUUAAACUCAAAUUUUAAAUGAUCUCGGGAUUAAAAAUCGCGUCCUAACUUACUGGUCGUGAUCUCAUUUUCAAAUCCGAGAUGGCUAAACCUAUCUUUUAAAUAAGCAUUUUUAUUCGCGUAUCGAGAACUCGAGACGUUGUAUCCUAACUCACUGGAUAUGAUGUCUUUUCUCGAUUAACGUGAAAUAUGCCACUUUUUCCAAGAUUUUCAACUUUUUAAUACAAAGAUCAUAUUUUUAAAAUUCUUUUAAAUUAUCAAUUUUCGACAUUAAGACAUUAAGUAAUCAACUAGGUACCAAUUUUGGGCGUAUCGAGGGUGCUAAUCCUUCCUCGUGCGUAACCGACUCCCGAACCCGUUUUCUAAAUUUCGUGGACCAAAACCGUUGUUUUAAUAAAAUCAAACCGUUUAUUAAAAACAACCCCUCUUCGAGGUGAUCCAAUCGCACCUCAUAAAAAAAAGAGGAUUGGUGGCGACUCCCGUUUCUUUUUUCAAAACCCAAGUCAACCCCGUUUUUCAUCCAAAAAAUGGUGUCAACAGCUUGGCGACUCCACUGGGGACACAGAUAAGAGGGUCAAGCCACGUGGUGAUUACUUUUUGUCUUUUGUCAAAAAUUGAAAAUUCGGUUUAAAAUUACGAUCCUUUCAUCGCAUUUUAUCUGUCUUUAUCAUAAUCAUCACCAUUAGGGUUUAUAUUUGCUCUGUUUGUUUAAAUUUUGGUAUCUUUCCGCAUUUCAUUGCAUGACCGUUGGUCACACCUUUAAGUGGGAGUGAGAAGCUACGCCUUCGUGAGGUUUUCACCUCCGCAUGGGAUAGUGAAUCGCUUUCGGGAUAUAUCCGUACCUAUGUCUUCGUGAGAUUUUCAUCUCCGCAUGGCCAUAGAGAAAUGUAUCCCCCUGAAUCGAACUUGGUCCGUAUGAGCCUAUAAUGGGUGAGGAUCGAGGAAUUUGCUGGUUCAGGUACCCUACUUUAGAACCAAACCACAUGUAAUGAGCCAUAGGAACCGACCUAGGUAGAGCUACUCCAAAUUUUUAGUGCUUACCUAAAUGAAUGUUGUAUUUAUUUGUCGCUUAUUUUAAAUCUUAUUCUGUGUUUAAUGUUAAUUUACUUUGUUUGUGAUUGCAUGGCAUCUUCAUUCUAAAAGAGGUGUCGAUUUACGUUCAGUUUCUUGGUAGAAAGCUUAUCAUGGAAAAGGGGUUUGUUGAUAAAGUAGAGGAUAAUGCGGCUGUGCAAAUAUGGGCUGAAACGACACAACGAGAGAAAGGCGAUAGUCUUACCGAAGGGUACGUGUCAGAAUUGUGGGAUUUUACCCGUAUCAGUGUAAUCCAGAAUGACCUUCGAGAAAUGAAAGAAGUCUGGGAUCAAUGGGAUGUCGAGGCCAAGCAGCUGUUCUAUUGUAACUACGGUGACCUACCUUAUCUGCUUAGUGUCAAAGUGGACAAGUAUUUAUUCCGAGCCCUUGCUCAGUUUUGGAAUCCUGCCUACAGUUGUUUCACUUUUGGGAAGGUAGAUUUGACGCCUACUGUGGAGGAGUAUACGACCUUGCUUCGGUGUCCAAAGAUUCAAGUCGACAAGGCUUAUUCCAAAGCUGCUUGUGUCCCUCCGUUGUUAAAGAAAUUAAUGAACAUCACUGGGAUGAGCGAGCAGUGGGUCGCUGUCCGGAUCCAACAGAAGAGCGACAGUAAAUGUGUUCCUUGGAAAAGUUUGCGAGAUUUGGUGCUUGUACAUCCUGACUUAAAGAAAAGGGUCGAUAUCUUCGCUUUAGGUAUCUAUGGACUAGUGGUUUUCCCCAAAGCUUUAGGACACAUAGACGAGGCUGUAUCUGAUUUGUUUGAUCGGCUUAGUAAAGGGGUUACACCGGUUCCGGCAAUACUCGCUGAAACUUUUAGAUCCUUGAAUGCGUGUCGAAAAGCAGGGGAGGGAAGGUUUAUUGGAUGCGCACAGCUCUUAUUGGCAUGGUUCCAUAGCCACUUCUGGAAAGUCGAAAAGGUCUCUUAUCGGGUAUUCUCCGAUAGCUACUCCCCUCUAGGAGAAUUGGUGGCCACGCCAAGACGGGAUGAUAUUUCAGAAGAAAAAUGGAUAGAGAUACUCCAGAAUCUCCAAGAUGAAGAUAUUGAAUGGAGGGCUCCUUGGUUAAUUCCUGAUGAGAUAUUGUACCGAUGUGGAGAUUUUGACUGGGUUCCGCUGCUCGGGAUAUGGGGAGCUAUCGGAUAUGCUCCUCUACUCGUAUCAAAACAGUAUAGAUCACGACAAUUCAUACCAGCAACCCAGGGGUUAGCUUAUAGUGAUUUUUCCUAUAGGGAGGACAAUUACAAGAAGAAGGUUCGAGAAAUAUCUAGUGCCUGGAACCAGACUCGUCGAAUGAAGAUCUUAGCCGUGGGUCCGACAAUUACCCCCGAGUAUGGUCAGUGGCGUGAUCAAAGGAUCAACGACAACAUCCCGGCGUCAAAUCCAGAAACUGCUCGAUCUUUGGAGGAACACUUACAAGUUUUGCCUUCUGAGAUAGAAAUCAUCAAACAAGAAUUCGAAAAAAGGAGUUUAGAAUUGGGGAAGAAGAUAGAACAACUAGAGGAAGAAAAAAUGCAGUUAGGACUGGAUGUGGACAUUCAAAGAUUAGAGGCCAACAAAUUGAGAAAAGGAAAGAACAAAGCAGAAGAAGAUUUGGACAGCCUGAAGACAGAUUACAAGAAGUUGCGUAGGUCGGUAAGAGCUGCUGGCUUGGGUAAAACGCCAGAACAAUGGCGACAAGAAAUUCAGGAGGAAAAGACGAAAGCUAAUCAAUGGGAAAAGAAAUUUCAGGAUACUCGGGCUCGAGAGGUCGCCUUGGGAAAGAGUCUACUAGUUUGCCAAGACGAGAAGACGGAGUUGAAGGUCCGGAUAACCGAACUAGAAAGAUCGCUUCACCAGUACUGUAAUCGUAAUGCUACGGUUGAAUUAAGGGCGAGCUUAGACAAAAUUGAAUAAUUAAAAAGACAAAUAGGAGGGCUAGAGAACGCAUUGCAAAAUAGUGAAAUCCGGAUAGAGCUUCUGGAAGAAAGUAAUGAGCAGUGGCAAAGACAAUUCCGUCGGUCUCAAGAGCAGAUUGGAGAAAGAGAUUAUAUUAUGGGAGAGGCGGUGAGUCAAGUGCGCGAAGUAGCUGAUCAUCUGUAAACUCUAGCGGUUCAGGCUGAUCUAUUAAGUUUGAAGUAUGAGUCAGAGUCGGACAGGGGCCGAGAAUUAGCUUGACUUCUUAGAAAGGUUAAGGCUUUGAGUGUGAGGGCAAAGCCAUAUAUGUAGUCUAUUUUAUGUAAAAAAACUCUUUAUCUAGUAAAGUUUUCUAAUGAAGUUGAAUUAGAAUCAGUGCCUCUUUUUCUUUGCAUCCUUUUCAUGCAUUGCAUCACAUCACAUGCAUUAAUGACCAUUAAAAACCUAAUCGAAUAAAAUCAUUUCAGUUAACCUGGAAAACCAACAAAGUUACGGCACCCGAGCUAAGACAAAAAUUAUGGACCAAAGGUUGGAGAAGCUAGAGCGACUUCAAAGAGAAAUGCAAGACCAGUUGCAGGCGCAAAUGAAAGAGCAAAUAGAAAAGAUUCAGCGUGACAUGGUGCAAAAGAUGGAGGAGUCCCAAAAUGAUCUGGUGGCUAAGAUGACGCAACUAUUGAAGGGAGUAGAUAAGGGUAAAGGUCCUGUGAUUGUUAGUGAAGAAGAAAACAAUGGUGAACCACUUUAUCCUCCAGGUUUCACGCCUCCGCAUGCGCAAGUACAGACUGAGCUGCAUCCGCGGAGACCCUCUGUGUCGGUUAGGCCCCAGCAGUUCCAAGGCGAUGCUUCAAUCCCAAUGAAUUUUCAACCCGGAGCGGGCCUUAAUCCCGGUGAUAGCCCGAAUAAUAUUGCUGUCCCAGAUCUUGACGAGAUGGUUGAAAAGGAUAAGGCGAAGGAGGAAUUUCCAAAACAAUUUGAGGAGAAAUGGAAAUGGAUAGAAGAGAAGUUUAGGGCAAUAGAAAGCAUCGAAAGCUAUGGAAUAGAUGCAAAGGAUCUAAGCUUGGUUCCGGACUUGGUGCUCCCUUACAAAUUUAAGAUGCCGGAAUUUGAGAAAUACAACGGGACUAGUUGCCCAGGAUCCCAUAUUACUAUGUUUUGUAGAAGAAUGACGGGGCAUAUUAAUAAUGAUCAAUUAUUAAUACAUUGCUUUCAGGAAAGUCUUACGGGAGCGGCGUCAAAGUGGUACAAUCAGCUGAGCCGAGCUAAAAUUGCUACUUGGAGGGAUUUAGCACAGGCUUUCCUGAGACAAUACAAUCAUGUCUCAGAAAUGAUGCCUGACAGGAUAACUCUGCAAAAUUUAGAGAAGAAAUCGAACGAAAGCUUCAGACAAUAUGCGCAGAGGUGGCGAGAGGUGGCAGUUCAGGUGCAACCACCGCUUUUGGAAAAAAAGAUGACGACGCUUUUUAUUAAUACUUUGAAAGCCCCGUUCAUCACUCACAUGUUGGGAAGCGCUUCAAAAAAUUUCUCGGAUAUAAUCAUGAAUGGUGAAAUGAUUGAGCAUGCCAUUAAAAGUGGAAAAAUAGAUGGAGGAGAAAAUAAUAGGAGGGCACCCUUGAGGAAAAGAUAAAAUGAAGUGAAUAAUGUGAAUGCUUAUGGUAGGUCAAUUACCGUGAAUCAACCAAAGAAAGUGGUUGCUAAUCAACAGGGAUCAUCAAGACAAGAGUCGGGAGCUAGGUAAACUACUGAAAAGCCCCAAUUCACGCCAAUCCCGAUGUCAUACAAAGAGUUGUAUCAGACUUUAUUCGAUGCACAUGUUGUUGCUCCUCGUUACUUGAGUCCUCUACAACCCCCGUAUCCAAAAUGGUAUGAUAUGAACGCGCAAUGUGAUUAUCAUGUGGGAAUUUCUGGGCACUCGAUAGAAAAUUGUACUGCCUUCAAGAAGGUAGUAGAAGGACUUAUCAAUUUAGGUGUCGUCAAACUUGACGACUCACCUAAUGCAAAGAAUCCGUUACCUAAUCACGCAGAUAAGGGGGUGAAUAUGGUUAGCGAAGAUACGGGAGAAGAAGUCAAGACUGACAUUGCUGAAGUAAAAACUCCAUUGAAACGGGUCUGGAAAGAAAUGGCGAAAAGAGGUUUGGUUAUUUCAGAUUCUGAGGAAGGGCAUGAGAUGGGAAAUUAUUGUGAAUUUCACCAUAAAACAGGGCACGAAAUCCAAGAAUGUGAAGGAUUUAAGGCUUUGGUUCAAAGCAUGAUGGAUAACAAGGAAAUGAGGUUUUACGAAGAUGCGAAAGAAAUGAGGAGCAUAUGCGCGACAGAGUUGGGAACAAAGGCUCCAAAAAUAAAUCAUCCUGUGGUCAUUAUCUCACGCCCUAAGGGUAAUGAGGUUAGGGCUCAGGUAACACCGAAAAUUGUAAUCCAGAAACCAUCAAAUUUCUCUUAUAGGGAUAACAAAAUGGUGCCGUGGAAUUACGGGUGUAAUGUGACCAUUUUGGGAAAAGAAGCAGAAAGAAAUCAGGAAAUAGGUUCUUACACGCGUAAUGGAAAAAGAUGUGACGCUCAAGCAGAGUCGUCCAGGGAAGAGAAUUGGAAGAAAGAACAGAGGAAAGGGAAAGCAGUAGAAGUUGAACCAUUGGUAAAUGAACCAAUAAAAGAAGAGGAGGCAAAGGAGUUUUUGAAGUUUUUAAAACACAGUGAAUACAAUGUUGUGGAGCAACUGCACAAACAGCCAGCCCGCAUUUCUGUAUUAGCUUUACUCUUAAACUCAGAAGUACAUCGGAAUGCACUAUUAAAGGUGCUAAACGAAACAUAUGUGGCUGACGAUAUUUCGGUAAACAAGCUGGAUCGACUGAUCAACAAUAUUGGUGCUGACAAUUUUAUCUUCUUCAGUGAUGAUGAAAUACCAUCCGGAGGAAGAGGUUCUACUAAAGCCCUGCAUGUUACUGUCCGAUGCAAAGGGUACACACUCCCGGGGGCCUUGGUUGAUAAUGGAUCUGCACUAAAUGUAUUGCCUUUGUCCACUCUUAGUCGAUUACCAAUAGACAGUUCGCACAUGAAAGCAUGCCAGAGCAUAGUAAGGGCAUUUGAUGGAACAAAAAAGGAGGUUAUGGGGAGAAUUGAGGUACCAUUAAGGAUUGGCCCAGUCACUUAUGAGGUGGAUUUCUUGGUAAUGGAUAUUAAACCCUCCUACAACUGUCUAUUGGGGAGACCGUGGAUACACUCAGCAGGGGCAGUACCUUCAUCAUUACAUCAGAAGGUGAAGUUGGUAUCGGAGGAUCGGUUGGUAACAAUAGAUGCAGAGGAGGAUAUUAUCGCAAUGAUGACUAGCGAUGCACCUUAUGUGGACAUCAACGAUGAGACACUAGAAUGUUCUUUUCGGUCGUUAGAAUUUGUGAACGCGAUGUUUAUUGCGGAGGGAAAUAGAAUUCCAGUACCGAAAAUAUCCAGGACCACUGAGAUGGGAUUGCGAUUGAUGGUAGGAAGAUGAGCCUUACCCGGGAAAGGAUUGGGAAAAUAUCUUCAGGGAAGGAUUGAGGCACCAAUGCCGAAGGAAAAGUUUGAUAGAUUUGGUUUAAGGUACAAGCCAGACAUGAAGCAGAAGAAGAAAGAAGUAGAGAAGAGACAAGAGAGAAGAAGGGCGCGUUUGAAUGGACAUGAAGCUAAGUGUGAGCCUUUAACCUUUCCCCACAUAUCUACAUCUUUUGUGUCGGGAGGAUUUAUUCAUUCUGAAUGUGGAGUGUCCGGUAGCGGCAUGGGAGGAAUGUUGGAAAACGUUUAUACUAACGCCAUAGAAGCAACGGAAAGGAGGGCUUUGUUGGAGAUCUGCCCUUAUGAGCCUGGAAGCGAGCUAAACAAUUGGACUGCUGAAGAAAUCCCUGUAGUCUUUAGGGCUUAUUCAGAGUAAUGCUCAAAACAUUCCUGUUGUUUGUUGGCCUAGAAACGAUAUGAAAUCUUUUGUGAAAUAGGCAUUGGGCCUAAAUAUCAUUAUUUUAAUGAAAUACGUGUCUACGUUCAUCUCGAUCAGUCACUUUUUUCUUUUAUAUUUUUCAUUUGGUUGAUUGUCUUACAAAUAAUUCUUUCAUUUAUAAUUCUUUUGCACAAACAUAUUCAUAAAUUUAUAUUCUUAGUAUAUUCUUUGAUCUGCCCUCAUAGGUCUUCAGAUAUCAAUGACAUGAGUGACGCUGCCUCAAACGCGGAGCCUAUUUUUGAGCAAGAAGUGUGUUCAGAGGGAUCCCACGACUUUGAAAAUGACGAAGAUUAUGAUGCAUCUCCGGACUUGUUAAGAAUGAUGGAACAAGAGGAUAAGCAUAUCCUACCUCAUAGGGAAUCGUUAGAAAUAGUGAGCCUAGAGGAUGGAAAUGAGGUGAAAAUUGGAACUGAAAUCACCGCAAAGACAAGGCAAGACCUCAUUAAUUUGCUCCGAGAGUUCAAGGAUGUUUUCGCGUGGUCGUACCAAGAUAUGCCUGGGCUAAGUACUAACAUUGUGGUGCAUCGUCUGCCCAUAAAGGAGGAUUGUAAACCCGUUCAACAGAAGCUUAGGAGAAUGAGACCUGACAUUGUGUUGAAAAUAAGAGAAGAAGUCAAAAGACAAUUCGACGCUAGUUUCUUACAAGAGGUCAAGUAUUCGGAUUGGGUAGCCAACAUCGUCCCUGUUCCCAAAAAAGAUGGAAAGGUACGAAUGUGUGUGGAUUAUAGGGAUUUAAACAAGGCUAGUCCAAAGGACAACUUUCCACUGCCUCACAUUGAUACUUUGGUAGAUAACACGGCGGGCUAUUCAUUGUUUUCUUUCAUGGACGAUUUCUCUGGAUACAAUCAAAUAAAGAUGCAUCCUGGAGACAUGAGGAAAACCACAUUCAUUACCUUAUGGGGAACAUUCUGUUACAAGGUAAUGCCCUUCGGAUUGAAGAAUGCGGGAGCAACGUAUCAAAGAGCUAUGGUGACUUUGUUUCACGACAUGAUGCACAAGGAGAUCGAAGUCUAUGUUGACGAUAUGAUCGCGAAGUCUAGAACGGAAGAAGAGCAUGUUCAGGUCUUGAAAAGGUUAUUUUUGAGAUUAAAGAAAUUUCAGCUCAAGCUUAACCCGGCCAAAUGCACGUUUGGAGCCAGAUCAGGGAAGUUAUUAGGCUUCAUAGUUAGCAAAAAGGGGAUCGAGGUUGACCCAGACAAAGUAAAGGAAAUACGAGAUUUACCUCCCCCGCGCACUCAGAAGGAGGUUCGAGGUUUCCUAGGGAGGCUGAAUUACAUUGCUCGGUUCAUCUCACAACUGACAGAGAAAUGUGAUCCAGUAUUCCGGCUCUUAAAGAAACAUAAUCCGGGCGAAUGGAAUGAAGAGUGUCAGAGGGCUUUCGAUAAGAUAAAGCAGUACUUGGCUAAUACUCUAGUCUUAUCACCUCCAAGUCCAGAUAGGCUAUUGAUAUUGUAUCUAACAGUGUUGGAGAAUUCCAUGGGAUGCGUAUUGGGCCAACAUGAUGAGACGGGAAAGAAAGAAAGGGCAAUAUACUAUCUCGGUAAGAAAUUUACCGAUUGCGAAAUGAGGUACUCAUCAAUUGAGAAGUUGUGUUGUGCUCUAAUCUGGGCAACCCGAAGACUGAGGCAGUAUAUGUUGUAUCACACAACUUGGUUGAUUUCAAAGUUAGAUCCUUUAAAAUAUAUGAUGGAAUCGACUGCUUUGAACGGGAGAAUGGCUAGAUGGCAGAUCUUGCUCUCAGAAUUUGAUAUAGUAUAUGUCAGUCAGAAGGCCAUAAAGGGAAGUGCAAUAGCCGAUUUCCUAGCUAGUAGAGCCUUGGAGGACUAUGAAUCUUUGAACUUCGAUUUUCCAAACGAGGACUUGAUGUAUGUGGCGAAUACUGAAGAAAAUCCUCAAAUGGAUCACGUAUGGAAGUUAAAUUUUGAUGGAGCUUCAAAUGCUACGGGUAAUGGAGUUGGGGCAGUUUUGGUAUCCCCAAGUGGAGAUCAUUAUCCUGUUGCUAGCAAGUUGGACUUCGAUUGUACAAAUAACAUGGCAGAAUAUGAAGCAUGUAUUAUGGGCAUUCGUGCAGCCAUUGAACGGAACAUCAAAGUACUGAGAGUAUACGGGGAUUCAGCGUUGGUGAUAUACCAACUCAAAGGGGAGUGGGAGACUAGAGAUCCUAAGCUGAUCGGUUAUAGAAAACUAGUUCUUGAAUUGGCUGAGGAGUUUGACGAUAUCACCUUCUAUUACCUCCCACGGGAGGAAAACCAAAUGGCUGAUGCAUUAGCUACUCUAGCUUCGAUGAUUCAGGUGAAUAGACUUGAGGCAAUGAGGCCUGUUCAGAUGAGUAUCUCUGAGACCCCGGCUAAUUGCUGCAAUAUUGAGGAGGAGGGAAAAGAUGAUUGUCCUUGGUAUCGGAGUAUCUUACAAUAUGUGAAGAAUCGGGAAUACCCUGAUCAAGCGACAGAGAAUGACAAAAGAACUCUGAGAAAGAGCAGAUCGAAGACACUAUCCUAUCUCCCUGAAGUUACAGUGGAGCGGAUUAAAAUAAAGGAUCUUAUCUCUCUGAGGUUACAGCAGAGUAGAUCGCAUCAAGUCUUAUUUCCCUGAAGAUGCAGUGGAACAGACUGAAAACAAUAAGGCGUGUCUCCUUAAAGUUGUAGCGGAGCGGACAGAAGAUAGUGAUUCUUAUCAUGUCUAAUCUUAUUCCCCUAAAGUUGUAGUAGAAUAGAUGGAAGCGAAGUCACAAACCUUGUCUCUCUGAAGUUGCAGUAAAGCAGGUUGAAGUCACGAAUCUUAUCCCCCUGAAGUUGUAGUGGGGCAAGUUGAAGAUAUGAGUCCGAUCUCCCCGAAGUUGCAGUGGAGCGGGUCAAAAUGAUGGACCUUACCCCCUGAAGCUACAAUAGAGUGGAUUGAAGCUACAAGUUUUGUCUUUUGGAAGUUACAGUGGAGUGGGUCGACGCAACAAGACACAGUGGACUAGAAUAAAGUUACUUGAAAAGAAGCGUCAAGAGAAGUCAAUACUCGGCAAAGACUGGACAAAAAUUGGUCUUUCUUAGUCUUUGCUCUGUUAUCGUUACACGACAACGAGCAAAGAGGGGCAGCUGUACAAGCCCAAUUUUUGACCCAGGGCCCAAUAACAAAUUUUAACCUAAAAAAACUACCCAGGCCCAACUAGCCUAACCCAAUCAGCCCAAAACAUAAACACCUAGCAGAAACCCUAGCCCCCUGUUGUGCCGCACCUGCUCCUGGCCGCCUCACCUGCUCCGCCGUUCACCUGCUUUCUGCCAUUGCCCAACUGCCCACCUGCAAACGAGUAAAGAAAGCAGCAACAACAACAAUGAAAAGAGGAGAAAUGACAGUGGUGUAAAAAAAAAUGGGUACACAAAUGGGUAUAUAAAAAAGGGCGGGGAUCACCGAAAGAGGGUCUUUUCCUUUUCUUUUGUAAUUUUUUCACAACACAACAGUUAAUGAAAAAAGGCAGAGAAAACAUUUAAAGGUGGAUUCAGACUUUUUAUUCUUUUUUUUGUUUGUUUUUAUGUUUGCUUGUUUAUAUAUAUACGAAUCUAUCUCAACAAAAACGAAAAUAAAAAAGAGAAAGAGAGAAACUCACCGGGGGGCUUUGAAAACCCGUCAUCGCACUUCGCCGGCCGUCGAUCUGGUGGCCGUGCGGCGGAUGUGCGAACGGUGGCAGCUAAGGAGGGCUUUUAAAAAAAACCCUAACAGAGAAAAAGCUAGAGGCUUUUUUUUUUUAUCUUCUAUUACAAAGUGUAUUUUUUAGGGGAAAUUUUAAUUUAAAUAGGAUCAGCUAAACGGCGCCGUUUUGGGUGGGAAAACCCCCGCGCGCGACCCGACCCGCGUCUCAGGAUCCACGUGUUUUGAUGAUUGGGUUAUUUACCCAUUUGGCCCUUCCGCCCUUUUGGGGUGUUUCAAUCUAGUCCUAUUUACAUUUUUAGAUUUUAUAAUUUUCGCCCAAAUUAUUUUUAGCGUUUUUGAUUUAGUCUUGCACUCAUAGAAUGGACACGUGUCCUAAUAAUUGGGAUAUUUUCCGUUUUGGCCCUCCGUCCUUUCGCGCGAGUCACAUUUUGGUCCUUUUCGUCCUUUUUAUUCCAAAUUCGCCCGGUAUUUCCUUUUUUUAUUUUAUUUCGAUUUAGCCCUUUUUUAGUCGCUUUAUUAUUUUGUUUAUUUUAUUAUUAUUAUUAUUAUUAUUAUUAUUAUUUACUAUUAUUAUCUUUACUAUUAUUGUUAGUAUUAUUACUACUAUUAUUAUUACUAUCAUUAUAUUUACACCUAUAUUUACUUAUAUAAAUCUUAGAUAAUAGGUGAUAUAUUAUAUUAUUAUAAAAUUGCGUAUAUACGUACAUGUAUAUGUAUUCUUUUAACUUAUUUAAUAUAUACAUACAAAAUCAUAUUUUCGUAUAUUUUUUAAUUUGUAUAUACAUAUACUUAUAUCUAUAUUUUCUAAUUUUUAUAAAUAUAUUUAUAUGUACAUACUUAUAUUUUUUAUAUACUUUCUAAUUCGUAUAUACCUAUUUACAUCUAUAUUUUUAAUAUAUUUUAAACAUAUAUAUAAAUAUCACUAUUUACUUUUUUAUUUUUAUUUUUUAUUAUUAUUUUCAAAUUUUGAUGUAUACUUACAUAUAUAUAUCUUUACAUUUUUAUAAUUUUAUUCAUUUAUUUAUUUACAUUUUCAUUAUUAUUUUGAACGAAUGCUUUAAUUUUAUUUGCUUGUAUACAUUGCUAUUUCGUAUGUUAUUGGUCUGUACCUUUUAUUUUUCUUAUUUUCGUUGCUAUUACUUGCAUUGUUUUUACAUCAUCGUAUUCAUAUUUAUUUAGUUACGCAUAUUAACAUCGUAUCUUAUUUUUACUGUUUCGUGAAAAAAAUAUUUCAUUCAAUGUAUGAAUUAUAACUUUUUGAGUAAACAAAAUUUCGUGUUUAGAUUUGAGAAAGUCGUACCCUAACUUACUGGGUUUCGACUUUCACAACAAAUCUAAAGACACGAAUCUUUUUAAACUCAAAUUUUAAAUGAUCUCGGGAUUAAAAAUCGCGUCCUAACUUACUGGUCGUGAUCUCAUUUUCAAAUCCGAGAUGGCUAAACCUAUCUUUUAAAUAAGCAUUUUUAUUCGCGUAUCGAGAACUCGAGACGUUGUAUCCUAACUCACUGGAUAUGAUGUCUUUUCUCGAUUAACGUGAAAUAUGCCACUUUUUCCAAGAUUUUCAACUUUUUAAUACAAAGAUCAUAUUUUUAAAAUUCUUUUAAAUUCUCAAUUUUCGACAUUAAGACAUUAAGUAAUCAACUAGGUACCAAUUUUGGGCGUAUCGAGGGUGCUAAUCCUUCCUCGUGCGUAACCGACUCCCGAACCCGUUUUCUAAAUUUCGUGGACCAAAACCGUUGUUUUAAUAAAAUCAAACCGUUUAUUAAAAACAACCCCUCUUCGAGGUGAUCCAAUCGCACCUCAUAAAAAAAAAAGAGGAUUGGUGGCGACUCCCGUUUCUUUUUUCAAAACCCAAGUCAACCCCGUUUUUCAUCCAAAAAAUGGUGUCAACAGAGAGGAGGAGGAAAAUAAAUUUAUGAAUAUUAUGCUCGCAUGGAUUUGCAUUUCAAAUGGUUAAUUUGCAUGAUUUGGGCUCGAGGACUAAAUUGAAUAAAAGUAAAACUUUAGGGGUAAUUUUGGAAAAAUGUCAAAAAAUGACUAAAUUCCAUGAAAUGAAUUGUUUUAUUAUUUAAAUUACUAAAUUGAAUGAAAUAUUAAUUUAGAUCAAUAUUGGGUGGAAAUUCGUGAAAAAUAGAAAUUUUUUAAAAUGUCCCUGAAUUUUGGUAUUUCUGCAAUUUAGCCUGGUAAGUUCUUAUGAACUAUAUUUUGUAUAAUUUUAAUUGAAUUGAAUGCUAUUUGGUAAUGAAUAUUAUAUAUAUAUGUGUGUUUGGAAUUGAUUUAUUAUUGGAUGUUUUGAAAUGAUUAUCGGAAGCUCGAUUGGGUUGGAAGCUUGUUGGAGAUAUAUCACAUUGUCCAUUGGUUCUAUCGGAAAUUUUGGAUGAUUUGAUUCUGGUUAUUGUAUAAGUUAAAUUGGUUAAUGUUAGCUCAUAAAAGUUUUGAUUUUGAUUGGUUAUAAAUAUGAAUGCUUGAUGAAAUGAAAUGUCUGAAAAUUAAUUUGUAAACUCCGAUAAUGCUCUAUAACCCUAUUCUGGGGAAGGAUACGGGUUAGGGGUGUUACAAAAAGCCUUCUCCUCUUGCCCUAUUACGGAUUGGAUUGAGAGCACCAAAGCCAAUGAGAACACAACCAAAAAAAACUUUUGCCAUCCUUUUUAUUUUCUAAAAAGGUUAAGAAAUAAGUAAAGAUAUAUUUUUAUUGAUGCUUAAGGAUGAAGAUGAGACAAAAUUUAAAGAUUUUAAAAUGAGACAUUUUGGGCGAAUUUAGGGGUCGUUGACUAGUCCAGUGCCUAAUAGCCAUACACGACAAAAAUACAUAUAACUUCUCUCCACAUUUUCAAUGGUGAUGUUUAUCACUAUUAUUGGUGGGUUCAAUUUACUUCACUUUGUUUCACUUGAAGACAUUGUGGGUGAUCAUUAAUGUGUUUUAAAAUCAUUCUGACCUUCCCUGUUUGCAUCAUCUGCACCAAUAAAAAACACUCCUUCUCCUUUUAUAGGUCAAUUUUUUUCAUGAAGCAACUUUAAACGUUACUAAUUUGUGGACCAAAAUCUAAAUAGCUUUCUUCUUCUAUAAUGAAGAUUGACUGUUAAAAAGAAUGUUCUUCUACUUGUCUAUAGGUAUCGAUCAUAGCACUGAUUGCCAAAUCAUUGCUUAGAGCUUGCUACCUAGACUUUUCAAAAAAAAAAGUCAAAUGACUAGGCCCGUUCUUGACAUUUUUGAGACCCUAGGCGGAACAAUAAAUUGGGGCCCCUUUUAAAAAAAUUAAAAAAUGUUAUGCAACAAAUAAAAAAAAUUGAGGCCAUUUUUUGAUCCCGUAAGAGCUUCUACUUUUGAUUCUGGAGAAGCUGCCACCCUUGAACUCAACAGUACCCUGUCAGCUUCCAAAGAUGCUGCCUCAUCAAAAGCCUUCUCCUCUUGUCCUACUACAAAUUGGAUUGAGAGCACCAAAGCCAUUGAGAACACAACCAAAAAAACCUUCACAAUCUUUUUUAUUUUCUAAAAUGGUUAAGAAAAAAAAAGUAAACAUAUAUUUUUAUUUAUGCUUAAGGUUGAAAAUGAGACGAAAUUUAAAGAGUUUAAAAUGAGAUAUUUUGGGCGAAUUUAGGGGUGGUUGACUAGUCUAGUGCCUAAUAACCAUACAUGACAAAAAUACAUAUAACUUUUCUCCACAUUUUCAAUGGUCAUGUUUGUCACAAUUUUUGGUGGUUUAAAUUUACUUCUUUUUGUUUCACUCGAAUACGUCGUGGGUGAUCGUUUAAAUUUUUUUAUUUUAUAAUUUUCACAUAUUUUUUUCAUUUAUUUAAAAUUUCAACCAAACAAAUUUUCUCAAUUUUUUUUCUACUUUUAGGAAAACAAAAAGAAAAAGAAAUCUUUAAUUUCUGAAACUAAAUAUACCCUAAACCUUUGCCUCCGACUCAUAAGAUAUUAAGAAUAAGGUAAUUAUUUGGUACACACGAAAUGUAAGUUUUUUAUUCCACAUAUGAAGUUGGGAUUUUGCCUCUUAUCAUAUAUAUAUUUAAUUUUUUGAAUAUAAAUUAAAUAAUAAAUAAUAAAAUCUCAACUAUAUUUAUGAAAUAAAAACCUUUCACCGUCACACCGAACAUUUCCCCUCGUGAUAUCACAAUAGUCUUUGUAAUCAUACUGACAAUCAUAAUGACAAAAGAAAGAAAAAGCUACGGGAUAUGAUAUUCACUACCCUCCAGUUAUGAGACUAUACAUAAUAUCGAUUGGAAGAAAUCGAAUUCAUAAAAAAUCCUACAAACUUAAUAGGUGUUUUUUUCAAGUAAGAAUAAUAAAUUUAGGGUCGAAAUUAAAUAGUAAUUUUUAUGAUAGUAAAAAUAUAAAUUUUAAAAGAUUAAAUCAAAAUUUUAUCAUUUUUAAAAAGUUAAAGUGCAACUUUCCUUUUACUAAUUUAAAAUUUUAAAAAUUUCUAAAAAGUCUAAAAGUAAAUGAUAAUAGAAUAAUUCUAAAAUCUGUCAUAUGCGCCAACUUGAGUUCUUGCGUCAAAUAUUUCGUGCUAUUUGCAUAUCCGCUCAUUUCUCGACACAUUGCAUAAUAAUUAUAAUUACUUAGAACAUGAUUAAAUGCCAAAUUAGAUAAAAUCCAUGUCAAAAAAUAAUCAAAAUAAAUAAUAAAAAUAUAUCGAUUAGCUGCAUUAUCAAUGUGUAAACCUAAUUUAAUGUCAAACUUAAAAGUUAAAAAUUUUCUUAUAUAUAAUGGUCAAACUAAAUUAUUGUUAAAUAUUAUAAAUAUUGAUAAUUAAUAAUAGUGUCCACACAUGAUUUUAAUAUUAAUGGUCAUAAUGUGUCAAACAAUUAAAAUAUUGACUUGUAAGAUUGUUUCCUUAAAUAUUGUAUAUAUUCGAGUUUUGCUAUUGUUGGGAGAAAAAAGUGAAAGGGUCUCGGCUCUCAGUAGUGUUGUGGAACUAAACUUUAAAUGUGGCUAAUUGUCUUGCAAGUCUUCCUUAUUUAUUAUUUUCUUUUUAUUCUCCUUCAACUGACUACAUUGUGUUUAAACAAACCCUUAAUCUAUUUUUGUAGUUAAAUAAGCCCUUAACUUGAUUUUUACUCAUAAAAUCCAUUUAUUUUAAUAUUAAAUUAAAUAUGUUUUACCCAUAUUAAAGGGCUUUUUAGUAUUUUAGCCCUGCUAGACUGUAUGUUGUAGAACCUGACACCUACAUUGCAGAAAUUGUUUGAUUAUUUUCAAUGCAUAAGAACCAAUGAAAACAUAGAUGGAAGGCUAAUAUACUAAAAGGUGCUUAAUCUAUUACACUUUGUUUAAACAAGCUUUUAUACUGUUUUUGUAGUUAAAUAGGCCCUCAAACUAUGAUUUUUACCCAUGAAAGUCCUAAAUUUUAAUAUUAAAGUAAUACUAUUUAAAAAAUAUAUAAAUUAAUUCGCAUUCUAUGUUGAUAUGAAUUUGAUGAGAAUAGUUUAUUAAAAAAAAUAAAAAUUUAAAAUUUGUUGAGAGUGCUUAUAUACAUGACAUGCUUAAUUACUAUUUUGAAAUUGCUGAUUACUUUUUUAGAUUUUAUGUUUCUGUUAAAGUGUAUAUAAUUUUUAUUGCAUCAACAAGAAAUUAAGAUGAGAGCUUGAAAUUCAAAAUAUAUUUACUUUAAUAUUAAAAUAAAAGACUUUUAUGUGUAAAACCCAUAGGUUAAGAGCUUAGUUAACUACAAAAAAAAGUUAAGGGCUUGUUUAAACACAAUAUAAUGAGUUGAAGGGGAAUAAAAAGAAAAAAUAUAUAACGAUGGUUUACAAGGCAAUUAGCCACAUUUAAGCGGCUCCCUUUCACUUCUUUUUCCAAUAGUCACUUAAAAUGGAAAUUUGCACUUCAAAUCCCUAAAUACUUUAAAUUAUUACAUCUCCGUUUGAUACCACUUGACACUAACAAAACAGUACAGUAAAAAACAUACCAUUUUGAUGUAUAUAUAUAUUCGGUUUUGUUAUUGUUUUUAACAUCGGCUUUUAAUUUAUCACAAUUUUUGGAUAAUUUAAAAAAAAUAAUAAUUAUAUUUUAAUUUAACAUAUAGAAAUUAAUGAGUCCUUGCAAAGCAAGAAUGUGUGUGACAGCGUGAUGAAUUUUUUCCCACACAAAAUCCAAAAGGAAUUAGGAAUCUUCAAAUUCGUCGGCCCAAACGUCACCCUUUUUCAGUGCUUCUCAUCAUUUAUAAAAACACUUCGAUUUCCUUUCUUUACUCCAAAUCCGACGUUCGUAAAAAAAGACCAGGUGAACUACCUACGCGCCGCCGUCACCACCAUGUCACAGCCUCAUUUCCUCCUAGUGACCUUCCCUGCACAAGGCCACAUAAACCCAACCUUACAAUUUGCCAAGCAUCUUAUACGUAUUGGCGUACGUGUAACUUUCAUCACCUGCAUCUCCGCUCGCCGCCGCAUGAGCAAAGUCCCCACUGCUCAAGGCCUAACGUUUUUACCCUUUUCCGAUGGCUACGACGACGGUUUUCAACCCGGCGAUGACAUAGACCAUUACCUAUCUGAAUUCAGGCGACGAGGCAAAGAAGCCAUCUCCGAGUUUAUAACAAGCAGUGAAAACGAAGGCAAACCCGUCACUUGCAUUGUCUACACCCUGUUCAUCCAUUGGGCCUCGGAGGUGGCGCGUAAACAUCACAUCCCGACAGCUUUACUUUGGAUUCAACCCGCCACCGUUUUCGACAUCUAUUAUUUUUACUUCAACGGAUACGAAACUACCUUUAAAGCUCAAGCUGAUGAAACAAACCCCCAGCGUUCAAUAAAAUUACCAGGUCUGCCGCUACUCGCCACCCGCGACCUUCCGUCGUUCCUAACCGCUUUAAACGUUUACCGUUGGGCACUGUCGUUAAUCCAAGAAAAAAUGGACGUCCUCGCUGAUGAAUCCAACCCCAAAAUCCUUGUUAACACAUUCGAUGCUUUGGAACACGAAGCAUUAAACGCCAUUGAAAAUUUCAACAUGGUCGGCAUCGGACCUUUAAUCCCAUUUUCUUUCUUGAACUCAAAUGACUCCUUGGAUAAUUCCUUGAGAACCGAUCUUUUUCAAUCCGAUUCAAAAGAUUACCUCCAAUGGUUAGACUCGAAACCAAAAUCGGCCGUCGUUUACGUUUCCUUCGGGAGCAUUGCGGUGUUAACGAAGCAACAAGUGGAGGAAAUCGCUCGAGCUUUAAUAUCCAGCCGGCGACCGUUUUUAUGGGUGGUGAGGAACCGGAAAGAUGGAGGCUACGAAGAGAAAGAAGAAGAUAAACUGACUUGCAGGGAAGAAUUGGAACAGUUUGGGAUGGUGGUUCCAUGGUGUUCGCAAGUGGAAGUACUGUUUCAUCCAUCCUUGGGUUGCUUCGUGACGCAUUGUGGGUGGAACUCGACGUUGGAGAGCAUGGUGGCCGGUGUACCAGUGGUGGCUUUCCCUCAAUGGACGGAUCAAAGGACUAAUGCGAAGCUGAUUGAAGAUGUGUGGGGGAAUGGGGUAAGAGUGAGUGCUAAUGAAGAAGGGAUCGUGGAACGGGAUGAGAUCGUUAGGUGCUUGGAUUUGGUGAUGGGGGAUGAUGAGAAAGGGAUGGAAGUGAAGAAAAAUGUAGAGAAAUGGAAAGGGUUAGCCACUGGAGCCGCCAUGGAAGGCGGCUCCAUGGAUAUGAACCUUAAAGCUUUUGUGGAUGAUAUUGCUGAAGGUUGUCGUAAGUAAAAUUAUCACUUUCAAAUCAAUUCAAUGUUUCAAUUCAAUUACCUGUAAUGUACUAUGCGUGCAAUUAUAGAUUUAAUAUAUAUUCUUUAAUUGAAUCAUUUUAAGUCACUAUUUUUUUCGAAUUCUAAAAUUUCCAUCUCGACACAAAUGAUAGUCACUAAUCCAUUAACUAAAAUUUCAAUAAGUAAUAUGUGAAAAUCGCAAACUGAAAUGCUAUUACACAUAUCAUAAUAUGUUUUGUUGCAUUAAAUUUUGAAAAUAACAGAAUUUAAUGAAUUUAACAAUUAUCGUUUAGUAAAGACUGAAAUUUUAAAAUUUUAAAAGUAAUAGAAUUAAAAAUAACCCAAUUAAAGUAUAAAUAUUAAAUCUACAAUUUUUAUAAAGUAAGACCAAUAAUAAAAUUUAAUAUUGUUUUUUUCUUGAAAGAAAUUGGAAGUGACCAUUAAGUACAAUAUGUGAUAGGGAUGGGAGAAUAUGAAUGGUGUGAUAGAUUUUGAAUGUAGGAAACAAACUUUUUUGAAAUGUGGUUGUAAGAUGGAGUGGGUUGGAUUUUUGUGUGUGUGGUCAAUGUGUAAUUCUUUGCCUUUAUAAAAGUAUCAUUUUAUCCAUUUAAUAUGUAUAACUAUUUAAAUAUGUAGAAAUGUGAAAAUGUAUUAUAGAAAAGCCUUUAUUUUUAAUUAAUGAGCUCUAACCGAUGAUUUAACAAUCAUAUGGUGGAUUAGUACUCAUCGACGAGUAGAGGAAAUCGCUUGAGCUUUAUUAUCCAGCUGACAACCGUUUUUAUGGGUGGUGAGGAACUGGAAAGAUGGAGGCUACGAAGAGAAAGAAGAAGAUAAACUGACUUGCAGGGAAGAAUUGGAACAGUUUGGGGUGGUGCUUCCAUGGUGUUUGCCAGUGGAAGUAUUGUCUCAUCGUCGUUGGAUUGCUUCGUGACACAUUGUGGGUGAAACUCGACGUUGGAAAGCAUGGUGGCCAUUGUACCAGUGGUGGCUUUCCCUCAAUGGACGGAUCAAGGGACUAAUGCGAAGCUGAUUGAAGAUGUGGGGGGAAUGGGGUGAGAGUGAGUGCUAAUGAAGAAGGGAUCAUGAAACGUGAUGAGAUUGUUAGGUGCUUGGGUUUGGUGAUGGGGGAUGAGGAGAAAGGGAUGCAAGUGAAGAAGAAUGUUGUGAAAUGGAAAGGGUUAGCGGAGAGGCCGCCAUGGAAGGUGGUUCCUUGGAUAUCAACCUUAAAGUUUUUGUGGAUGAUGUUGCUCAAGGUUGUUGCAAGUAAAUUUAUCUUUUCAUAUAAUUAUCUCCAUUUAUAUUUCGAAUUCUUAAAUCAAGAAAUAAUAUUUUUAAAAACGAUCAAAUUCCUCUUAACUGUUGUAAUAAUAAUAAUAAUAAUAUCAAAUUAAUGAUCUAAAAUUCGAUGGAAUGUUACAAAUAAAUUUCUAAUUUAUGUUUGUAUUAAAUUUAUGCUUAAAUUAAUUUUGGCCUAUGGUGUAAGUUUUUUUUAAAAAAAUUUUAAUGGCCAAAUUUAAUUAAUAACAUCAACAAUUGAAUUUUAAAUUUUAAGUCAAACUAAGAGACUAAAAUUUAAAAAUUAAAAGUAGUGGAUUAAAUUUUUAAAAAAAUUGCAAAAGAGUACAAGAAUUGGAGGUAUACUUAAAAAAAAUAUUAAAAUUUUCUUUUCUCCUCCAAUAAUAGAAUCUAAAGCUACGCACCUUUAUAAAAAUUAAAAAAAGAAUUAAUUGUCCAAGAUAAAUAUUAAAUAAUAAUAUUUAUGGACUUGAGUACAUGAAAUUUAUUGUUGGUCAUUUAAUUUAUCAUUUAACAAUUACUUUUGUUUUGGCUAUUGAGAAAAUUUUCUAGCCCUUAUAAUGUGUAUAUAUAUAUCUCCAUAUUAUUGGAUGUGUUUCUUUUUAUUAAAUUACAUAGCCUAAGGUUGCUUAUUGCGAUUAUGGUAAUUUGCUGCACCAUCCCCUGACUAAUUCUUCUCAUUUUUAGUGUUAGCAUUCUCCUACUUAAAAUCAGGGUCUCAUGUUGCUUUUUGAGCGUCAUUAUACCAUUCUCCUCUUUAACCCGCCGAAAAAUUCUGCUUUCGAUUCUGGAGAAGCUGCCACCCUUGAAGUCAAAAGUACCCUGUCAGCUUCCAAAGAUGCUGCCUCAUCAAAAGCCUUCUCCUCUUGUCCUACUACAAAUUGGAUUGAGAGCACCAAAGCCAUUGAGAACACAACCAAAAAAACCUUCACAAUCUUUUUUUAUUUUCUAAAAUGGUUAAGAAAAAAAAGUAAACAUAUAUUUUUAUUUAUGCUUAAGGUUGAAAAUGAGACGAAAUUUAAAGAGUUUAAAAUGAGAUAUUUUGGGCGAAUUUAGGGGUGGUUGACUAGUCUAGUGCCUAAUAACCAUACACGACAAAAAUACAUAUAACUGUUCUCCACAUUUUCAAUGGUCAUGUUUGUCACAAUUUUUGGUGGUUUAAAUUUACUUCUUUUUGUUUCACUCGAAUACGUUGUGGGUGAUCGUUUAAAUUUUUUUAUUUUAUAAUUUUCACAUAUUUUUUUCAUUUAUUUAAAAUUUCAACCAAACAAAUUUUCUCAAUUUUUUUUUCUACUUUUAGGAAAACAAAAAGAAAAAGAAAUCUUUAAUUUCUGAACCUAAAUAUACCCUAAACCUUUGCCUCCGACUCAUAAGAUAUUAAGAAUAAGGUAAUUAUUUGGUACACACCAAAUGUAAAUUUUUUAUUAAGUUGGGAUUUUGCCUCUUAUCAUAUAUAUAUAUAUAUAAUAUAAUUUUUUGAAUAUAAAUUAAAGAAGAAAUAAUAAAAUCUCAACUUGAUUUAUGAAAUAAAAGCCUUUCACCGUCCUACCGAACGAACAUUUCCCCUCGUUGUAUCACAAUAAUCAUUGUAAUCAUAAUGACAAUCAUAAUGACAAAAGAAAGAAAAAGCUGUGGGGUAUGAUAUUCACUACCCUCCAAUUAUGAGACUUAUAAUAGAGGGGAAUUAAGAAAAAAAAUUUUAGAGUCGAAAUUAAAUAGUAAUUUUUAUGGUAGUAAAAAUAUAAAUUUUAAAGGAUUAAAUUAAAAUUUUAUUGUUAAAAAAAAAGUUAAAGUGCAACUUUUCUUUUACUAAUUUAAAAUUUUAAAAUUUUUUAAAAAGUCUAAAAAAUAAAUGAUAAUAGAAUAAUUCUAAAAUCUUUGUCAUAUGCGCCAACUUGAGUUUUUGCGUCAAAUAUUUCGUGCUAUUUGUAUAUCCGCUCAUUUCUUGACACAUUACAUAAUAAUUAUAACUACUUAUAACAUGAUUAAAUUCCACGUUCUUAAAAGUAGAUUAACUACCUACGCGCCGCCGUCACCACAAAAUAUUUUAUAUUCGGUUUUGCAAUUGCUUUUAACUUCGGUCACAAACAAAAUUUUUUACUUACACAAACAAAAUUUUUUACUUAGUUAUUAAUAAUAAAAGUGGAUUAUUUUAUUAAAAAAUAAUUUAUAUUUUAUUUACGUUGUAUAAUAAUUAUAUCUACAUAAAAAAUAAUCGAUUAAAUUUCAAAUUACGUAAAAUUUAUUUCCAAAAUUAAUUAAUAUAAUUCAUAAAAAUACUUCGUAUUAUCAAUGUGUCAACUUAGUUUAAUGUCAAACUUAAAAAAAUGUAUAAUGUGAACAUGGCUAAAAAUUUUCUUUUUUAGAUAAAACCUUAAAAUAAUAUUUUACGGAUUUUUACUUAUAUAAUAUAAAAAAUUGAAAUUAAUAACUAAAAUAGCAUGCCCAUGAGAUUAUUUACCAAAAUGGUAUGUUUACUAUGGUGUUUUACUGGUGCCUCUUGUCAAAUUAGCAGUACCAAACUGAAAUGUAAUGAUCUAAAGUAUUUAGGGAUCGCAAAUUUUUCAUUUUGAGUGGUUGUUGGAGACAAAAGUGAAAUGGUGUCGAAUGUCAGUAGUGUUGUGGAACUAGACCUUAAAUGUGGCUAAUUUGCUUGCAAGCCCUCAUUAUUUGUUAUUUUCUUUUUAUUCCCUUUCAACUCACUACAUUGAGUUUAAACAAACCCUUAACUUAUUUUUGUAGUUAAAUAAGUCCUUAACUUGAUUUUUACUCAUAAAAUCCCUUUAUUUUAAUAUUAAAGUAAAUAUGUUAUACCCAUAUUAAAGGGCUUUUUAGUAUUUUAGCCCUGCUAGACUAUAUGUUGUUGAACCUGACACUUACAUUGCAGAAAUUGUUUGAUUAUUUUCAAUGCAUAAGAACCAAUGAAAACAUAGAUGGAAUGCUAAUAUACUAAAAAAUGUUUAAACAAGCUUUUAUACUGUUUUUGUAGUUAAAUAGGCCCUCAAAUUAUGAUUUUUACCCAUAAAAGUCCUAAAUUUUAAUAUUAAAGUAAAACUAUUUAAAAAAUAUAUAAACUAAUUCGUAUUUUAUGUUGAUAUGAAUUUGAUGAGAAUAGUUUAUUAAAUAAAAAAUAAAAAAUUAAAAUUUGUUUAGAGUGCUUAUAUACAUGACAUGCUUAAUUACUAUUCUGAAAUUUCUGAUUACUUUUUUAGAUUUUAUGUUUAUGUUAAAUUGUAUAUAAUUUUUAUUGCAUCAACAAGAAAUUAAGAUAAGAGCUUGAAAUUCAAAAUAUAUUUACUUUAAUAUUAAAAUAAAGAGCUUUUAUGAGUAAAACCUAUUGGUUAAGAGCUUAUUUAACUACAAAAAAAAGUUAAGGGCUUGUUUAAAUACGAUAUAAUGAGUUGAAGGGGAAUAAAAAGAAAAUAAUAUAUAAUGAUGGUUUACAAGGCAAUUAGCCACAUUUAAGCAGCACCAUUUCACUUCUUUUUCCGGUAGUCACUUAAAAUGGGAAUUUGCACUUCAAAUCCCUAAAUACUUUAAAUUAUUACAUUUCAGUCUGAUACCACCUGACACCAACAAAACAGUACAAUAACAGACAUACCAUUUUGAUGUAUAUAUAUUCGGUUUUGCUAUUGUUUUUAACUUCGGCUUUUAAUUUGUCACAAAAUUUUUGGAUAAUUUUUUUAAAAAAUUAAUUAUAUUUUAAUUUAACAUAUAGAAAUUAAUGAGUCCCUACAACAAGAAUGUGUGUGAUGACAACGUGAUGACUGUUUCUCCACGAAUUAGGAAUCUUCAAAUUCGUCAGGCCAAACGUCACCCUUUCAGUGCUUCUCAUCAUUUAUAAAAACACUUCGAUUUCCUUUCUUAGUUACUCCAAAUCCGAUGUUAGUAAAAAAAGACCAGGUGAACUACCUACGCGCCGCCGUCACCACCAUGUCACAGCCUCAUUUCCUCCUAGUGACCUUCCCUGCACAAGGCCACAUAAACCCAACCUUACAAUUUUCCAAGCAUCUUAUACGUAUUGGCGUACGUGUAACUUUCAUCACCUGCAUCUCCGCUCGCCGCCGCAUGAGCAAAGUCCACACUGCUCAAGGCCUAACGUUUUUACCCUUUUCCCAUGGCUACAACGACGGUUUUCAACCCGGCGAUGACAUAGACCAUUACCUAUCUGAAUUCAGGCGACGAGGCAAAGAAGCCAUCUCCGAGUUUAUAACAAGCAGUGAAAACGAAGGCAAACCCGUCACUUGCAUUGUCUACACCCUGUUCAUCCAUUGGGCCUCGGAGGUGGCGCAUAAACAUCACAUCCCGACAGCUUUACUUUGGAUUCAACCCGCCACCGUUUUCGACAUCUAUUAUUUUUACUUCAACGGAUACGAAACUACCUUUAAAGCUCAAUCUGAUGAAGCAAACCCCCAGCGUUCAAUAAAAUUACCAGGUCGGCCGCUACUCGCCACCCGCGACCUUCCGUCGUUCCUAACCGCUUUAAACGUUUACCGUUGGGCACUGUCGUUGUUCCAAGAACAAAUGGACGUCCUUGCCAAUGAAUCCAACCCUAAAAUCCUUGUUAACACAUUCGAUGCUUUGGAACACGAAGCAUUAAACGCCAUUGGAAAUUUCAACAUGCUCUGCAUCGGACCUUUAAUCCCAUUUCCUUUCUUGAACUCAAAUGACUCAUUGGAUAAUUCCUUGAGAACCGAUCUUUUUCAAUCCGAUUCAAAAGAUUACCUCCAAUGGUUAGACUCGAAACCAAAAUCGGCCGUCGUUUACGUUUCCUUCGGGAGCAUUGCGGUGUUAACGAAGCAACAAGUGGAGGAAAUCGCUCGAGCUUUAAUAUCCAGCCGGCGACCGUUUUUAUGGGUGGUGAGGAACCGGAAAGAUGGAGGCUACGAAGAGAAAGAAGAAGAUAAACUGACUUUCAGGGAAGAAUUGGAACAUUUUGGGAGGGUGGUUCCAUGGUGUUCGCAAGUGGAAGUAUUGUUUCAUCCAUCGUUGGGCUGCUUCGUGACGCAUUGUGGGUG